AUGAGUUGUACAAUGAAGAAGAUCUUUGCUGAUGCCAAAACUCUUGUUGAAAUAUCAAAAGACCAUGACAAUGCAGAAAAAGUCUCUUUAUGAGCAAACCGCAGCUUUCCAGAGCAGUUCAAGUUAUCAGCUUUGGGAUUCAUAAUGAGCAAGUACUGAGAACAAAUGUUGAGGGCUGAAGAGUUAGCUAAAAAGAAGGCUGACCUUGGUAGAAUCAUGAAAUUUAACAAACAACAUUCCAAGGUAUUACAAGCCCACGUUGACCUGAUAACUGAAAUAGCAGCAGUAAUGAGGAAAGCCACUGAGAUUGGUGAGCAUCAAGGUUGCAUGAGAUAGGAAGAAAAGAUUUCAGCUUAAACAGAAAAUCAAUGAUUUGAGAGAAAUCCUUCAAAUAAUGGAAAAUCAUGAUCUCAAUCAGCCCACAUAAAUGAUGCUCUCAAAAGCUGGUUUUUGAAAAUGCGUAAACAAUGGUCAUAGGAUUUAUUCUUAUUAAAAGAUCA
Molecule: long non-coding RNA, 500 nt
Filed under: Homo sapiens (human)
Lineage: Eukaryota; Metazoa; Chordata; Mammalia; Primates; Hominidae
Description: non-protein coding lnc-WASF3-4:1
Source: RNAcentral